RNAcentral lists this ribosomal RNA (1263 nucleotides) under Bacillus sp. (in: firmicutes). RNAcentral describes it as "bacterial SSU rRNA". It matches the Rfam family "Bacterial small subunit ribosomal RNA", at positions 47 to 1283 of the family's 1533-position model. Lineage: Bacteria; Bacillati; Bacillota; Bacilli; Caryophanales; Bacillaceae. The record is from RNAcentral.
CAGCAUGUAUGGUAGCCUUAGGAAUCCGGAGUUUGAGCUGGGUAGCUUGCUCCCUGAUGUUAGCGGCGGAGGGGUGAGUACACGUGGGUAACCUGCCUGUAAGACUGGGAUAACUCCGGGAAACCGGGGCUAAUACCGGAUGGUUGUUUGAACCGCAUGGUUCAAACAUAAAAGGUGGCUUCGGCUACCACUUACAGAUGGACCCGCGGCGCAUUAGCUAGUUGGUGAGGUAACGGCUCACCAAGGCAACGAUGCGUAGCCGACCUGAGAGGGUGAUCGGCCACACUGGGACUGAGACACGGCCCAGACUCCUACGGGAGGCAGCAGUAGGGAAUCUUCCGCAAUGGACGAAAGUCUGACGGAGCAACGCCGCGUGAGUGAUGAAGGUUUUCGGAUCGUAAAGCUCUGUUGUUAGGGAAGAACAAGUACCGUUCGAAUAGGGCGGUACCUUGACGGUACCUAACCAGAAAGCCACGGCUAACUACGUGCCAGCAGCCGCGGUAAUACGUAGGUGGCAAGCGUUGUCCGGAAUUAUUGGGCGUAAAGGGCUCGCAGGCGGUUUCUUAAGUCUGAUGUGAAAGCCCCCGGCUCAACCGGGGAGGGUCAUUGGAAACUGGGGAACUUGAGUGCAGAAGAGGAGAGUGGAAUUCCACGUGUAGCGGUGAAAUGCGUAGAGAUGUGGAGGAACACCAGUGGCGAAGGCGACUCUCUGGUCUGUAACUGACGCUGAGGAGCGAAAGCGUGGGGAGCGAACAGGAUUAGAUACCCUGGUAGUCCACGCCGUAAACGAUGAGUGCUAAGUGUUAGGGGGUUUCCGCCCCUUAGUGCUGCAGCUAACGCAUUAAGCACUCCGCCUGGGGAGUACGGUCGCAAGACUGAAACUCAAAGGAAUUGACGGGGGCCCGCACAAGCGGUGGAGCAUGUGGUUUAAUUCGAAGCAACGCGAAGAACCUUACCAGGUCUUGACAUCCUCUGACAAUCCUAGAGAUAGGACGUCCCCUUCGGGGGCAGAGUGACAGGUGGUGCAUGGUUGUCGUCAGCUCGUGUCGUGAGAUGUUGGGUUAAGUCCCGCAACGAGCGCAACCCUUGAUCUUAGUUGCCAGCAUUCAGUUGGGCACUCUAAGGUGACUGCCGGUGACAAACCGGAGGAAGGUGGGGAUGACGUCAAAUCAUCAUGCCCCUUAUGACCUGGGCUACACACGUGCUACAAUGGACAGAACAAAGGGCAGCGAAACCGCGAGGUUAAGCCAAUCCCACAAAUCU